GAUAAACGCUGGCGGCGUGCCUAACACAUGCAAGUCGAACGUCCUCUGACUCUUCGGAGUUAUGAGGGAGUGGCGGACGGGUGAGUGACACGUGGGUAACCUGCCCCAAAGUGAGGAAUACCGGCGAGAAAUCGCCGACAAUACCGCAUGCGCUCUCGAGAGGGGAACCGAACGAGAGGAAAGCUUCGCAAGAGGCGCUUUGGGAAGGGCUUGCGUCCGAUUAGCUAGUUGGUGGGGUAAGGGCUCACCAAGGCGACGAUCGGGAGCUGGUCUGAGA
Molecule: ribosomal RNA, 277 nt
Filed under: uncultured bacterium
Lineage: Bacteria
Description: partial 16S ribosomal RNA
Rfam family: Bacterial small subunit ribosomal RNA
Source: RNAcentral